GGCAGACGGGUGAGUAACAUGUAGGUAUCUGCCCUUUGGCCUGGAAUAACACGAGGAAACUUGUGCUAAUACUGGAUAAGUCUUUACGGAGAAAGCUUUAUGCACCAUUGGAUGAGCCUGCACUUGAUUAGUUUGUUGGUGGGGUAAUGGCCUACCAAGACUGUGAUCAAUAGCUGAUUUGAGAGGAUGAUCAGCCACAUUGGGACUGAGACACGGCCCAAACUCCUACGGGAGGCAGCAGUGGGGAAUCUUGCACAAUGGAGGAAACUCUGAUGCAGCGAUGCCGCGAGAGUGAAGAAUGCCCUUGGGUUGUAAAGCUCUUUCGUCGGGGAAGAAAAUGACUGUACC
Molecule: ribosomal RNA, 348 nt
Filed under: uncultured marine bacterium
Lineage: Bacteria
Description: bacterial SSU rRNA
Rfam family: Bacterial small subunit ribosomal RNA
Source: RNAcentral